RNAcentral lists this long non-coding RNA (238 nucleotides) under Setaria italica (foxtail millet). RNAcentral describes it as "long non-coding RNA (SITA_LNC004593)". Lineage: Eukaryota; Viridiplantae; Streptophyta; Magnoliopsida; Poales; Poaceae. The record is from RNAcentral.
UUGGUUUUCAUGGACUGGCUGCGAUCCUCAUAUGUAGAUAUCGAGCAAGCCGGACCACUCAUCUCAGAGCAUUUCCUCCUUGAUAAGCUCAUGCCAAAGCUGAUAAAAAUUGUAGACCUAGGAUCCUCUUAUCAGUCAUUAGCAGAAUAGCGUGCGCGCCCCUAGAUAGCUAUGUAUGGUUAUGGAAGCUUAAUUAACGUAUCAAAUACACCUUGGCAAACUUACGCGUAGAAAGAAG